UCUUCCUACCAUUCUAGUCCUCAUACUUAGCCAGGUACAGCCACUGGCAAAGUAGCUCUCUAGGUCUCCCUUCUAACCAAUGAUCAGAGUCAAAGAAAAUUCCUCCGCACUAUGAGCAAGCAGGUUCUCUGCUGGGUAGCCCUUUGUCUCCUUGCAGUAGGAACCACACAUGGUGGCAUUACUCAGACACCCAAAUUCCUGAUUGGUCAGGAACGGAAGGAAUUGACCUUGAAAUGUAAACAGGAUUUCAAUCAUGAUUCCAUGUACUGGUACCAACAGGAUUCAGGGAAAGGACUGAGACUGAUCUACUAUUCAAUAACUGAAAAUGAUCUUCAAAAAGGCGACCUAUCUGAAGGCUAUAGUGCCUUUCGAGAGAAGAAGCCAUCCUUUUCUCUCACUGUUAAAUCUGCCCAGAAGAACCAGAUGGCUCUUUAUCUCUGUGCUAGCAGCAUAGCACAGUGGAGCACACCUACCCCCUCUCCAUGCAUAAAUGUGCCCAAAUCCUGCUUACCCCACCAGGUGGCUCUUAGGUCCUCCCCUAUCCUCUGUCCUUUCACUUCAGCCAGGACUUGA
Molecule: non-coding RNA, 573 nt
Organism: Apodemus sylvaticus (European woodmouse)
Lineage: Eukaryota; Metazoa; Chordata; Mammalia; Rodentia; Muridae
Source: the annotation of a RefSeq genome assembly